GUGUCAGCAGCCGCGGUAAGACGAGGGAUCCUAGCGUUGUUCGGAAUCAUUGGGCGUAAAGAGUAUGUAGGCGGCCUUGUAAGUCAGUUGUGAAAGCCCCGGGCUCAACCCGGGAAGUGCAAUUGAUACUGCUUGGCUUGAAUGUGGAAGAGGGCAGUAGAAUUCCAGGUGUAGUGGUGAAAUACGUAGAUAUCUGGAGGAAUACCGGUGGCGAAGGCGGCUGCCUGGUCCUACAUUGACGCUGAGAUACGAAAGCAUGGGGAGCAAACAGGAUUAGAUACCCUGGUAGUCC
This 292-nucleotide ribosomal RNA is filed under the name uncultured bacterium. RNAcentral describes it as "partial 16S ribosomal RNA". It matches the Rfam family "Bacterial small subunit ribosomal RNA", at positions 505 to 796 of the family's 1533-position model. The record is from RNAcentral.